AUGAGACAGCAGUGUUUUUACUUAGACUUUGAAAUGUAUCUUGACAGCUUCACUUUAUAGUAGUCAGGGGAAACAAAACAGAGCAGCCCUUUCAGGUGAAUUUUAUCCAAGUCUUUGAGUUAAAAAACUGAGGCUUAACGAGGUUGGGUGACUUGCCUAAGGUCCUGUAGCUGGUAACAUGCAGAACAUGCGGACUGGGUCGUUGUGAGCCCAGAACCUCUGACAUUUGUCCUUUGUCUCUCUGCUACACUACACGGCCUCAAAGCAGUGUAGCAGGUGCAGAGAGUAGGGUCAGUGUUAGAAGUGAGCUACUUUACAUGGGGCUCGUUUCAUUUUUGGUUAAAUAUCUUUAAAGGCCUUAGAAUAUCCAUGUUGUCUAAGGGAAAGAAGUUUAGUGUGUCUUCAACAUUGGCAGUGUGCCAUACAUGGAUCAGGAGCCAUUUUCUGUAAUGAUUUAUUUAUCUAGACCAAUGAUGUUAUAGGAUCAGAACAUUAAAAGUGGAUCUUUUAAGACUUAGAGGUUAUUUAAUCCACAAUUUCUUGAUUCCAUCCAUCCUGUGUAUGAUCAUCCACAUUCUUUUCUGAUACCUCCAAAGACAUAUCUAGCAAACCAUCCCGGUUUUUUUAUAAAAUGCAAGUAUUAAGUUCUUUAUUUCUAGAUUUUGAGCCAAAAUUCAUUUCCCUGUGGAUUUAUUCUUUGUUUUCACAUACUACUUACCAAGUAUUCCUUGAGUACCUACUGAGUUUCAGUAACUGAGGAUCAUAAUCGUAAACAAGACAUGUGUAGUACCUGCCUGUAAGCAGUUUGUAAUUAUGUAGAGGUUACAGACAGGUAGCCAGGUCAUUAAAAUGUUAUGUUAUGAAUACUAGAAAGUUCCUCUGUUGGUUUUUGUUCAGCCUAUUGUAGCCACAGAAACUAAGUUGGAUCUCUGUUAUACAUGACAGCUUUUCAGUGAUUUUAAAACAGCCAUGAAAAUUCCCACCCUGGUCUCUUCUUUCCUCCUUGUAUCUCAAACAUUUUACAUUCUCCUUUACAUGACCUGAAUUUUUUUUCUUUAAAAAAAAUUUGUUUUUUAGUUGUCUUGGUCACAGGUCUUGCGAUAUCAUGUUGUACCUCUGGAGCCAUUUAAAAAUGGGACACAUUGUGGUAGGCAGCCUCUGAGAUGGCUCCUGAUGAUCCUUGUCUCCUGUUAUUCAUGCCCUUGAGUGUAACCUAUACAUAACAUAUGGCAAAUGAUUGAUGUCACUUCUAAGAUUAAGUUACAAAGAGAUUAGUCCUUCUUGCUUGCUCUCUCCUGCUCUUUCUGGUUCUCAUGGAAGCCAGCUGCCAUCUUGUGAGCCACUUUAUGGAGAGGCCUAUGUGGUGAGGAACUGAGGGAAGCCACUUCAGUGGCUGUUAAGGAACUGAAGCCCUCAGGUAGCUCAGUAACCUCUGAGGAGUGAGUCUAGUCGACAUGAGAGAGCAUGGAGUUCCACAGGUCCUUCCUCUGUCAGUCUUACGGAUGAGACCGUAGUCCCACCACACCUUGAUUUCAUCCUGUGAGACACCUUUCAGUAGAGGCGCCAAGCUAAGCUAUACCAAGAUUUCUGAUCCACAGAAAUUCUGAGAUAAUAAAGGUUUACUGUGUUACGCUAUUAAGUUUUGGCGUAAUUUGUUAUACAGUAGAUAACCAAUAUACAUAUGUAAUGUGAUAACUACAGAAUUGUAUUUCCUUCCUCUUCUGGUCACUGUUCCAUAAAGGGUGAACUUCUGACAGGCCACUUUAUACUGUGGGCUCAUGUGGAGCAGUGAGCUCAAACCCCUUAAUGAUUCUCACUUGAGUUAUUAUUAAACUAUGUCUCCUGUAAUUUUGAAGCUGUUGCUUUUCUUGGUGUGGGGUAGAGAGGGGGGGUUAUUUUGUUUUUAGCCUAAAUGCUGGACUGCAGGUUAUUCAUCUCAUUAAGUCCAUCAUCUCAACUCAUCAAGACAUUUUGAAAUCCCAGUAGUCAUUAUAUAUAUAUUUUUAAAAUAUAAUGCUAAGCCCAUGAGAGAAACAGGAGGGUGAGUCCCAUGUACCAGAAGCAAAGACAGAAUUAAAACUCAAAAUGAUAUGCAUACUACCUGACAUGGUAGCUAUCUUGGGGAGAAAAACAGAACUUCUAAUAGGUAAAAGCUUUUGUAUGAACAUUCACUUAGGGACAAAAGAUGAGACCUAGGACUUGAGUGAGAUAGGAAGUUGCAACUCAUAUUUACAUAUAAAGAUGAAAUGCAUAAAGGACUAUAGCCCCAUGAAAAAGAGGAUCCAUACUCUCCACUUACUAGCCCAGAAGACCAUAGCAUAAUUUAUUCCUGAUCUCAAAUCUGGAUCGAAGGGAAGAAUCUUCCAGGUAAAUGAAAAUUACAACCUAAAAUUUUGGAUUUGGAACACAAAUUUAAAUCAUUCAUGCUAGAAGCUUCAGCUUAAGAAUUUAACGUAUGAAUUGGUCCUGGGCCAGGGGUAUCCUCCUGGUAUCUACUAGAAAUAAAUUCAAAAGCUCUCUUCAACAAGACAAGUCACACAAAGAUCUCACAGCAAAAACAAGCCCCACUUAAGAUGAAUUCAUAAUAAUAAAAAUAAGAUUACAAAAGUUAAAAGGAAUCAAUCCAACAGAUAUCGAAAAUGGAGGUGAAAUAAAAAAUUUUUCGGGCAUAAAAAACAGAGAAUUCAUAGACCUGCACUUAAGGAAAUGUUAAAGGAAGUCCUUCAGGAAGGAAGUAAAUGAUGCCAGAGGAAGAUAGGGAUCUACACAAAAGGAUGAAGAACAGCAGGCAUGGUUACUAUAAGAUUUUUCGUUAUUAUUUAAAUCUUAUAAAAAGACAAUUUGCUUUUUAACUAAAAGUAAUAAAGUAGCAUGAGGGUCAUAACAUGUAAAAUUAAAAUGUUUGACAUCAGUAGUAACACAAAAGCCAAGAAGUGGGGAGAAAUGGAAAUGUAUGCUGUUGUUGUAAGAUUCUUAUGCUACACAUGAAGUGGAGUAGAAUCACUUGAAGGAAGACUAUGGUAAGUUAAAGAUGUAUACUUCUGGCCCUAAAGCAGCCAUAAAAGAACAAAUCCAAAAGUUACUACUAAUUUGCCAGCCAAGGAGAUAAAAUGGAAUCAUUAAAAUCAUUCUCACUGAACUCCUCUUCCCCUGCCAAAAAAAAAGAGUAAGAGGGAAAAAUA
Long non-coding RNA from Mustela erminea (ermine), 3182 nucleotides. RefSeq lists it as uncharacterized. NCBI's taxonomy places the organism in Eukaryota, Metazoa, Chordata, Mammalia, Carnivora, Mustelidae. The record is from RefSeq and is a predicted model, not a curated record. The transcript is spliced from 2 exons.